RNAcentral lists this ribosomal RNA (389 nucleotides) under uncultured bacterium. Its description in RNAcentral is "bacterial SSU rRNA". It matches the Rfam family "Bacterial small subunit ribosomal RNA", at positions 28 to 419 of the family's 1533-position model. The record is from RNAcentral.
GACGAACGCUGGCGGCGUGCUUAACACAUGCAAGUCGAGCGGUAAGGCCCUUUCGGGGGUACACGAGCGGCGAACGGGUGAGUAACACGUGGGUGACCUGCCCUCAGCUCUGGGAUAAGCCCGGGAAACUGGGUCUAAUACUGGAUAUGACUCCACGGUGCAUGCCGUGGGGUGGAAAGCCUUGUGCGGCUGAGGAUGGGCCCGCGGCCUAUCAGCUUGUUGGUGGGGUGAGGCCUACCAAGGCGACGACGGGUAGCCGGCCUGAGAGGGCGACCGGCCACACUGGGACUGAGACACGGCCCAGACUCCUACGGGAGGCAGCAGUGGGGAAUCUUGCGCAAUGGGCGAAAGCCUGACGCAGCGACGCCGCGUGAGGGAUGACGGCCUGG